Molecule: ribosomal RNA, 252 nt
Filed under: uncultured bacterium
Lineage: Bacteria
Description: partial 16S ribosomal RNA
Rfam family: Bacterial small subunit ribosomal RNA
Source: RNAcentral
ACGUAGGUGGCGAGCAUUAUUCGGAAUUACUGGGCGUAAAGGGUCCGCAGGUGGUUUACUAAGUCAGAUGUGAAAUUUCAGUGCUUAACACUGAACCUGCAUUUGAAACUGGUAGACUAGAGUAUGUGAGAGGUAAGCGGAAUUUGUGGUGUAGCGGUGGAAUGCGUAGAUAUCACAAGGAAGACCAAAGGCGAAGGCAGCUUACUGGCACAAUACUGACACUCAUGGACGAAGGCUAAGGUAGCGAAAAGG